GUGCCUGUGGCUCAGUGGGUAGGGCGCUGGUCUCAUAUACCGAGGGUGGUGGGUUCAAACCCAGCCCUGGCCA
This is a non-coding RNA of Otolemur garnettii (small-eared galago), 73 nucleotides long. NCBI's taxonomy places the organism in Eukaryota, Metazoa, Chordata, Mammalia, Primates, Galagidae. The record is from Rfam.